Molecule: unclassified non-coding RNA, 2450 nt
Filed under: Leishmania donovani
Lineage: Eukaryota; Euglenozoa; Kinetoplastea; Trypanosomatida; Trypanosomatidae
Description: gene:LdHU3.27.0730(CDS-product:cdc2-related_kinas e_6_putative)
Source: RNAcentral
GGUGCACGCGAGGUCUGCUUGCCUCCAGGCACAUAGCGUACGAGGCAGAAAACGAAGAAUAGCACAUAGGGUAAGCUGAGCCUAUACGCACCCCUGUAUCUGCUUGCGUGUUCUCCUAGUACUGUGUUCCGCACGUUCAUCUUUCGCAUCAUUAGAGAGGUAACAGGCGUUGGUGGUUUGGUGGUGUUGGGGGGAGGUUGUCCUUGCCGUUGUUUCUGUGUGUGUGUGUGUGUGUGCACCUCCGAGGGCAGCGUUGGUUUGCCGAAAUCGUCGCGCCCCGUAACCCACCCCCGGCCUUGCGCGCGUUUCUCUCGCUUCCAACGUUGCCGAUAGCGUCUCGCAGCGCACCACUGGCUCAGCCACGCACACGCAUAUACACACAUCUAUAUAUAUAUAUAAACUCUUUCACGCUAUAGCAAAAAAGCAAGCCAUGUCCGCGUCCGUGAACAACUUGGAUGGUAAGCUGGACUUGGUAGACAUCACGGCGUUGAGUGCCGCGUAUGAGCCGGAGGAGGUGCUUGGCGAGGGCACGUACGGCAUCGUGUUUCGGGCUCGCAACAAAGCAACCGGGGCCAAGUAUGCCAUCAAGAAGCUCCGGCUAGACGGCUUCUCGGAAGGCGUGCCAGCGACCACUAUCCGCGAGGCGACUCUCUUACACGAUCUCAACGACAACCCAAAUGUGGUGAAGCUUCUAGAUGUAGUGUGUAGUGACCAUCGUGUCUACCUCGUUUUCGAGCUACUUGACGAGGACCUCCGAAGCUUUAUCAAGCGGUACCGUCCCGUCAGCGGGCAGAAACCCACAAAUGGCACAGCGGUGCCGCUCCACCUUGUGCGGGAGUUUACGCGUCAGAUUCUCUACGCGUUGUGGACAUGCCACAACAACCGCAUCCUACAUCGAGACCUGAAGCCAGGCAACAUCCUCGUGGCAAACUACCGCAGCAAGAAUGGGGAGACGAAGUUCUACGUGAAGCUGGCCGACUUUGGGCUGGCACGCAUGUUCGAGAUGUCAGUGCAGACGUACACGCACGAGGUCAUGACCUUGUGGUAUCGUUCCCCCGAGAUUAUUCUCGGCGAUCGUCACUACACGCCGGCGGCAGAUGUGUGGUCAGUGGGCUGCAUCGUCGCGGAGAUGAUUCUCGGCUAUUCCCUCUUUCGUGGCGAGAACUGGCGCGACCAGCUGGACAAGGUCUUCUACGUUGUGGGCACUCCGACGGAGCAGACGUGGCCCGGUGUCACGAAGCUGCCUGGAUACGACCGCAACUUCAAGGUUUACCACGUGGCACCCCUGCCGACGCGGCUGCGCGACUACGACGAGAAAGCGGUAGAGUUCAUUGCCUACUUGCUUGUCACGAACCCGAAGCUUCGGCCCACGAUUCCGGAAAUCCUGGAACACCCCUUUAUGAAGGAUGCGUAGCGCAUCUCCUUUGAUUAUUCAUGCCUUGCCCAAUGCGGCGCUGCCCCGGCGCUGUUCUGUUCUUGUCUGCCUCUUCUGGGGUGCCUUUACCACCUUACCUGUUCCUGACCGGAGACGCUGAUGUGCCGUCGUUGUGUCGCGUGCGUGCGCCUCACCUCUAAGUGACUGGCUCGAUCCAGUGACGGUUGUGCUGGCAGACGUGUAUGACCUGCUCUCGGGGGUGGGGUGAGGCAGACACGUACCCCCCCCCCCCACACACACACACACACGCGCGCACACACGUGGAUACGAGGUCUUGCUCUUCUUGCAGGUUGUCCCAUGCAAGCACUUUGUCUCCCACGGGUAGUGCUGGGGCUUCUAAUCGUGCCGCGAGCCGCCUCGUGCGCCUGCAUUGUGGCUGAGGUGAGAUGCCCUGGUGGGCCUCCGCGACUUUUUUCUUUUAUUGCCCCAUUGUCUUGCGCUGGCGUAGAGCCGCCCCCUCCUCUCCAACUCCGGAACACGUGCCGUGUCGUUCUUGUGCAACGGGAAAAGAAAGGGUCUCGCCUUGUGGAAGGGUAAAGGCAAGACCACCCCCUUCUCGUGCCCCCGCUACACGCUUGCAUUGCACAAGAGCGAGGCAGGAACGCCCCUUCCUUUUCAUCUCGUGGCUAUGUUUGCUCUGGCCCACAGGAUGGGAGGGCGGGGCAAGAAUCUCUUGGCUGCUGGGCGUCAGCCCGUGCGUUAGAUGUCCGCCUUGCCUGCUUUGUUGAGGAGUGCCGGAUGAAUUGAAGGGAGGGUGAGGCGGCAGUUAUGGCGUUUGCGCUCUUGAUACCACUAAACUGCCCCACAGUCGAUAUGAGCGAAUGAGGGCGUUCCUCGUGCCACUGGAUCGGCUCCUUGCCCAUCACUCUGGCCAUGCGUCGCAUGUGAAGGCGACCGCCCUUUUUCCUUGCGCGCGCCUCUGCCCACUCCUUUCGGAUUACUUCUCGCUCUCUGUUCUCUCUGUGUGUGCGCGCAUGUGUCCGCGCGUCAUCAUGCGAAUCCCCAACCUCCGCAG